RNAcentral lists this long non-coding RNA (1353 nucleotides) under Anas platyrhynchos platyrhynchos (common mallard). RNAcentral describes it as "lncRNA (ENSAPLG00000023350.1)". The record is from RNAcentral. Lineage: Eukaryota; Metazoa; Chordata; Aves; Anseriformes; Anatidae.
AUGCUCCAUCCCUUCUCUCCCUGCCGUGAAGCCUGGAUUUCCCAUGAUGUUGCUGCCUCCCAGGGCAGUGAGAAGCCUUACCCCCCGCUCGCCACUCAGGUGACGUUGCUGAGUUACACCUGCUGCUUGUGCAACGCUCAGCACGGAUCCCUGAGCGCGGAGGAGCAAAACCCCUCGGUGGCUCCUCCCCAAACGCAGCGCUGCGGUUCUGCAACAGGCAGAGCCCGGCCAGGGAGCAUCCUCUGCCGGCGCCCCGGGACGCAGCAGCGCGGGGCGGGUGGCACCUUUCCCAGAACAAAGGAAAUGGACAGUGAAACGUUCAGAAAGCUGCGGUCUGCUUCCAUACCUCUUAUCAGGGAGACUAAGGGCCAGUACACGCUGUGCCAGCGAGGUGCAACCCCUGAACCCAACAGUCCCUCACAAACACGGUUUAGAGGUAAAACCCUGAACAUCUUGAGUGACUGUGGGAGUUGUUAACUCCUGCCAGCAGAACAGUAAACGUGUAUAAAACUCCUUGGAACCAUAAAUUGCUGCACAGUGGCUCAGCAUUGUAAAACGUAACGAUUGCUAGGAAAAGUAACCACAGAUUCUUGUUCAAUCAAGACUUGGUCAGACUUUCCCAAAUGUCCCUGUGUUUUGUUGUUUGGGAACAAAAGGGAUUUUUACUUUUAAAUUGCACCAGAGUACCUCCUACCAUUAUGUCAAAACUGGAAUGUGGGAUUGUGUUUAAACAGUAUUUUCAAGUGAAGCUAGAAUGAACAGGUUUCACGGUGAAUACCGGGACUUACCCAGUUUCUAACCUCUGUCCUGUCAAAAUAAUUGCCCUUCUAUUGCUACUUAUUUCCCUGGAGAACAAUGUCCAUUAACAACACUGGCAGCUCUAAUGCUGAAAAUAGAGCAGGCUCCAUUUGUUCAGUAGGUUGAAAAAUCAGCUGUGAAGCCAACGAAGCCAAAUGACCUUGGAUUUUGCUUGACUUUGCGUUGUCUCUCUACUUGCUUCAUGAGAAAGUUUAUUUCAUAAGCAAAAACCUCCUGCUAAAAAUACAGCUGAAAAACACUGCGAUGAUCUCCUCUACACCCAGGGCAUUGUGUGUUAUGUUAGCGUGAUGCACUACUGACAGCGGUUAAAUACAGCUGAGAAAUUAGGUACACGGGACAAACUGGCACAGAAAAUGGCACCAUCGAUCUAAUCUGUAAUGUGUCUAAAACAUCAGCUGGUCCUAAACUUACCUGGUAAAAUUAAAUAUUUUAAUGGUGACUGAAGUUGAUACAAAGAAGGUUGAAAAGGCUUCUGGGAUAGCUGUAAGUGAAGAUGUAAAUAAAGAUUUAAAAAAUAAGAUAAAUAAGUGGAGG